Bisporella sp. PMI_857 is the source of this 91-nucleotide non-coding RNA. The record is from the annotation of a GenBank genome assembly. Lineage: Eukaryota; Fungi; Ascomycota; Leotiomycetes; Helotiales; Helotiaceae.
GACCGCUUAGCGCAGUGGUAGCGCAUCUGAUUCCAGACAAACCGUUCUAGGAACUUCCAGAAGGCCAUCCGUUCGAUCCGGAUAGCGGUCA